UCCAGUAACAUUACUGAAGGGGCCACACCCGUUCCCAUUCCGAACACGGCCGUUAAACUCUUCUAGGUCGAUGGUACUGCGGUCGCAAGGCCGUGGGAGAGUAGAACGUUGCUGGGC
Molecule: ribosomal RNA, 117 nt
Filed under: Candidatus Aceula meridiana
Lineage: Bacteria; Pseudomonadati; Candidatus Omnitrophota
Source: RNAcentral